Molecule: long non-coding RNA, 512 nt
Organism: Corythoichthys intestinalis (scribbled pipefish)
Lineage: Eukaryota; Metazoa; Chordata; Actinopteri; Syngnathiformes; Syngnathidae
Exons: 2
Source: RefSeq, a predicted model, not a curated record
UUCACUUCCGGGUCGGCAGACUCAAUGCGGAUUGUAACGUGUGGUCGUGCUAAGCUAACUCUUUCGGUGUUUUAGAAAGAAAUUAUGGGUGUGUAUUGUUGUGUUACCGGGUGCAACAGCUUCUCCUACGACUAAAAAAAGGGCGAGGAAAACUGGACUCACUUUUCACCGUUUUCCUGCAUGGAGGACCAAAUAUCAGAUCACGAAGGCACGACUGAUGGCUGGAUUGCAGCGGUUCGUCGGAAAAGCAUUUCUUAUGAUCAUAUUUCUGCUGGAAUGAGAGUAUUCCCCUCAUCUCUACUCUUGAAAACCUGCAUAUGAAAUGCUGACAACACAUCCCGAUUGGUCACCAUAUCUCUUCUUGGGUUAUUCUGAGGUCAAGCGCACCACAUCGGAGCGUUAUGAGAGGUUGGAAAGGCGAAGAGUGCACGCUGAAACUUCUGUUUGCUCUGCUCUUACAAACACGAUCCCAAGUGUUGUUGUGAAAAGUCAAUAAAAUAUGAAUACCAAAA